RNAcentral lists this ribosomal RNA (939 nucleotides) under Klebsiella sp. RNAcentral describes it as "bacterial SSU rRNA". It matches the Rfam family "Bacterial small subunit ribosomal RNA", at positions 63 to 998 of the family's 1533-position model. The record is from RNAcentral. Lineage: Bacteria; Pseudomonadati; Pseudomonadota; Gammaproteobacteria; Enterobacterales; Enterobacteriaceae.
CAAACGUACAUCGUGGGAAUACGAGUUGAUCUGGCUUAGUACACAAAAGCUUGCUCUCUUGACUAGCGGCGGACGGGUGAGUAAUGUCUGGGAAACUGCCUGAUGGAGGGGGAUAACUACUGGAAACGGUAGCUAAUACCGCAUAAUGUCGCAAGACCAAAGUGGGGGACCUUCGGGCCUCAUGCCAUCAGAUGUGCCCAGAUGGGAUUAGCUAGUAGGUGGGGUAACGGCUCACCUAGGCGACGAUCCCUAGCUGGUCUGAGAGGAUGACCAGCCACACUGGAACUGAGACACGGUCCAGACUCCUACGGGAGGCAGCAGUGGGGAAUAUUGCACAAUGGGCGCAAGCCUGAUGCAGCCAUGCCGCGUGUGUGAAGAAGGCCUUCGGGUUGUAAAGCACUUUCAGCGGGGAGGAAGGCGUUAAGGUUAAUAACCUUGGCGAUUGACGUUACCCGCAGAAGAAGCACCGGCUAACUCCGUGCCAGCAGCCGCGGUAAUACGGAGGGUGCAAGCGUUAAUCGGAAUUACUGGGCGUAAAGCGCACGCAGGCGGUCUGUCAAGUCGGAUGUGAAAUCCCCGGGCUCAACCUGGGAACUGCAUUCCAAACUGGCAGGCUAAGUCUUGUAGAGGGGGGUAGAAUUCCCGGGGGAGCGCUUACAAUGCGUAGAGUCUGGAAGAAUUCCGGUGGCGCAAGGCCCCCCUGGUAGAAAGACUGAAGCUCAUGGGCGAAGCGGGGAGCUUACAGGAAGAUACCCUUAGUCCACGCUGUUAACAAAUCCAAUUUAUGUUGUGCCCAGGCGUUUCCCCCACUAACGACGUUAGUGACCGCCUGAUACGGUCCCAAGGUUUGAACUCGGAUGAUGUGACGCCCGCACAAGCGGUGACGUGCCUGUUAAUGUAUGUAACGCGGAAACUUACCUGGUGACACCAGAACUUUCC